UCCGCAUGGAAGGGCCAUCGCUCAACGGAUAAAAGCUACCCCGGGGAUAACAGGCUUAUCUCCCCCAAGAGUCCACAUCGACGGGGAGGUUUGGCACCUCGAUGUCGGCUCAUCGCAUCCUGGGGCUGUAGUCGGUCCCAAGGGUUGGGCUGUUCGCCCAUUAAAGCGGUACGCGAGCUGGGUUCAGAACGUCGUGAGACAGUUCGGUCCCUAUCCGUCGUGGGCGUAGGAAAUUUGAGAGGAGCUGUCCUUAGUACGAGAGGACCGGGAUGGACACACCGCUGGUGUACCAGUUGUCUUGCCAAAGGCAUCGCUGGGUAGCUAUGUGUGGACGGGAUAAGUGCUGAAAGCAUCUAAGCAUGAAGCCCCCCUCAAGAUGAGAUUUCCCAUUACGCAAGUAAGUAAGAUCCCUCAAAGACGAUGAGGUAGAUAGGUUCGAGGUGGAAGUGUGGUGACACAUGGAGCUGACGAAUACUAAUCGAUCGAGGACUUAACCA
Molecule: ribosomal RNA, 497 nt
Filed under: Lysinibacillus fusiformis
Lineage: Bacteria; Bacillati; Bacillota; Bacilli; Caryophanales; Bacillaceae
Also listed under: 1 other name
Description: 23S rRNA. Bacterial LSU
Rfam family: Bacterial large subunit ribosomal RNA
Source: RNAcentral